RNAcentral lists this long non-coding RNA (869 nucleotides) under Zostera marina. Its description in RNAcentral is "long non-coding RNA (ZMAR_LNC003495)". Lineage: Eukaryota; Viridiplantae; Streptophyta; Magnoliopsida; Alismatales; Zosteraceae. The record is from RNAcentral.
CCGAUAUUCCCCAAGCUCUCCUCGCCGGAUUUUCCGCAACUCUUCUUCUCGUCGGAGGUAAUGUUCUUAAUGUCUGGAUUUCCCCAACCCUAAUGUUCUACUUCGAUCCUAAUGUUGUACUCCUUAUGGGUCUUCGUUCUGUAAAUAGAAAUGAUCAAGGUUCAUUCUGUAAAUGAGUUUGUCUUCAUUCUGUAUAUGAUGAUUCUGUAAAUGAUGAUCCUUUUCAAUGCUUUAGGUAGUCCAAAAUGUGAUUCAGCCUUGUACCUUUCUAAAUAUUUUUGUAAAUGUUCUCUAAAUGGAUUUUUGUAAAUGUUCUUCCAAUCAGUUUCUGUAAAUGUUUUUGUAAAUGUUCUGUAAAUGGAUUUCUGUAAAUGUUCUUCCAAUCAAUUUCAGUAAAUGUUUUUGUAAAUACUUAAAAAUGUUUCCGAUAAAUUUUACUUAGAAAGUAGUACUUUUGUAAUGUUUCUGUAAAUGUUCUGUGAAUGUCCUUCUUAGCAAAAAGAUAAUUAAUUUCUGUAAAUGGAGGUUCUUCCGGCAUGCAAAUCGAUACCUUCAACUUGAUUGAAACAACGAGUGACAAGUCUUGCUUUCCGGAGGCUAAAGGUGCCAUUAGAAUUCUUCUUUACCUUAAAUAUCCAUUUGCACCUUUUGGAGGGACCACAAGUGACCAAGUUUUGUUUCUGUUGAGUGUAUUUAGUUCCUCCUCCAUAGCCAAUCUCCAUUCCGGUGAUUGAAGAGCUUUUCUUACCGACGUGGGUUCCUCCACACUUGUAGUGCAUCCGACGUGGAAAUACAGUGCAUCCGAAAACCCACAAAAAAUUGUAAUUAGAACUAUGACCAAACAAUUUUGUGUAAGAUGGGACACCAUG